This 464-nucleotide ribosomal RNA is filed under the name uncultured bacterium. Its description in RNAcentral is "bacterial SSU rRNA". It matches the Rfam family "Bacterial small subunit ribosomal RNA", at positions 331 to 793 of the family's 1533-position model. The record is from RNAcentral.
CCAGACUCCUACGGGAGGCAGCAGUGAGGAAUAUUGGUCAAUGGUCGGGAGACUGAACCAGCCAAGCCGCGUGAGGGAGGAAGGUACAGAGUAUCGUAAACCUCUUUUGUCAGGGAACAAAGGCGGGGACGUGUCCCCGGAUGAGUGUACCUGAAGAAAAAGCAUCGGCUAACUCCGUGCCAGCAGCCGCGGUAAUACGGAGGAUGCGAGCGUUAUCCGGAUUUAUUGGGUUUAAAGGGUGCGUAGGCGGAACAUUAAGUCAGCGGUAAAAUCGAGGGGCUCAACCCCUUUAAGCCGUUGAAACUGGUGAUCUUGAGUGAGUGAGAAGUAUGCGGAAUGCGGGGUGUAGCGGUGAAAUGCAUAGAUAUCACGCAGAACUCCGAUUGCGAAGGCAGCAUGCCGGCUCCACACUGACGCUGAGGCACGAAAGGGUGGGUAUCGAACAGGAUUAGAUACCCCCGUAC